CAAGAGGUAGUUUAUUUAAAAUAUUAAUUUUGGGGAUUAGUGAUAAAGGAAUUCUUUUCUCUUGA
This 65-nucleotide transfer RNA is filed under the name Medetera sp. Qilemoge-2020. Its description in RNAcentral is "tRNA-Pro". The record is from RNAcentral. Lineage: Eukaryota; Metazoa; Arthropoda; Insecta; Diptera; Dolichopodidae.